UAAACGUUUGCUUAAUUAAGGCCUUCUGUAGCACUGAUACUGCUGAUCUCUGGCAUGAAGCGCAAGACUUGCAAUUCAAUGACAACAAACAGGUCUACAAGGAGAGCACAACUUCCCAUUUAAAACCAACAAACAAGAAGCUUUGAAAACAAGAUAAAUGGAAGUGUCAAUAAUGAAUAUGCAUGAAGGUCUUUCUCCUGUAGUCAUUGGUUAGGCGAUUCUGGCAGUAUUUUGUAGGGCACAUUAUUCUGCUUUGGAACUUCGGCUGGAAGGAGAACUAAGCAAGAUGAGAAACUGAACGUAUCUGUGACUCUGCAAGCAGUCCCUGACGCUGUGGUGGGAUCCAGGCCUGGACGCUGUGGAUAAGGUACAAUGUCCUACUGUGAUUAUUUCAGGAAACCAGCAACAUGGGGACAGAUAAAAGUAAGAAGCAGGUUACCUUCGCUCUCUGGUUUUGGAACCACACCUGGACGACACGGACACUCAGCCCUGUCUCUGCAGCCAGAGUCUCUCUCACCUUGGAAAAAUUGAACGAGAAAUGUAGACACACUGGCAUCUCAGGGUAGGAGGUAGAACAUCUCCUAUAUAAUACUUGAGGAGGCCAAAAGACUGUAUCUGCUUUAGGAGCUGAAUAGUUUUUAAUGUUGAGCAUACACACAAACACGAGAACAUUGCUUCCCUUCAGGUAGAAAGAAAGUCCUUCACCAGGUAACUUUGGGUGUUUCAUGAAUAUCCAUAGUGACUGCUACCCCAAGUGAGCCCUGCCCAAAGAGAAUAAAAUGAGAGCCAUCUGGAACCCGGCAGAGCCAGGAAGUGUGGCCACAGGACUACAUUCUGGCCAACACAUAUGAGGAGAAAUGAUUUGAGCAACCCCUGGAUACAUCCUUAAAAAGCAGGGCGCUUGCCCUCCAUUUCCUCUUUCUCUACCUGGUGACUGGAAACAUGGUGACAACUGGAGCAGUCGCUUGGACACAGGAGAUGGAUAACAGAGCCACCCACCAGCCUUGCCUUGCUCACCUCUGGACUGUGACAGAAGAGAAUAAACUCCUGUCUCAUUAAA
RNAcentral lists this long non-coding RNA (1060 nucleotides) under Homo sapiens (human). RNAcentral's name for it is "long non-coding RNA NONHSAT149995.1". Lineage: Eukaryota; Metazoa; Chordata; Mammalia; Primates; Hominidae. The record is from RNAcentral.